UUUUCAAGCAAACACAGAAGGACCGAAAGAAGCAUCCGCUCGAGAAGACGCCGUUAACAACAUAGAAGCGUCUCCUCGAAAACUUCAAUCGCGGCUCCUCCAUCGGUGUUGCCUUCGCGGUUCUUGCCUCAGAAUAUCCACGUUGUGUUCUCUCUAUCAGCUUGACAAUUUGAAGCUUCGUCAACAUCAUCGUCGCGUUCAACCUUCAGCUCACAAAGCAUCACGUUUUCCACCUUCACUUGUGGUUUGCGUCCUUCGAGGAUUGCGUUCAUCAAUCCAUUCAGAACUUUGGUGGAUUCACAACUUGAAAUCACCGAAACUCUGGUCGAUUCCGCUGCACGCACGCGUCGACAAAAAAGAGUCGAAGUGAAGAAACUCAUCGAAAAUAAAGCUUCAAACACGAAAAGGCAUCGAAUUCCUCUGCCCUGGCUUCAAUCUGAACUUCUUCUUCUUCUUCUGUACUCAAGUUCUGAUUUCUGCAGAAUCAUGGAAGACUUUGGCAGACAGUCCCUUUUCUCGGUGAUGACCUUGCAUUGUUGUGGUGUGUUGUGACGGAUGCCGUGACGAGAAUGAAUUCAAGAUUGAAAGAGUUUCAGUCGUUCUUCAUUUUGUUCAGAGAUAAACAAUGAAGGAAAUGAUGAGGGCUCUGCAGAAAAAUGGAGGAGACCCCGCUGAAUGGUAUACUGACUCGAUUUUAUAGAGGAUGGGAGACUAACUGAAUCGGGAGUCGGUCAGGUUUGUUACUUGUUGGGCAGGGUUAGUUAAUUCUGUUUUGGAUUUGUGAGGUUAGAAAUUUAUAGUUCUGUUUGGGAGUUUUCUUUUGUUAGGGACUUUUAGUUAUAUGACCUUUUCUACUUACUUCUGUUAUAGAAAUUUUUAAUAGGGCGGAAUUGGUUUCUUUGCAUUUGGAAGCUAUUCAAAUGGUGAAGGGAGGUUUUUGGUUGAGUGAGUUGGAAAAAUUCUGGUGAAGUGGUGGUUGAUUUUCGGGUUGAGAAAUUAUGAAGGUCCCUCCUGAGAGUUCUUAGAAGAAAACAGUUAUAGGUAGGCUUUUGAUAGUUGCGUUGAAGUGGAUUUUUCGGUUAGAAUCUGUUAUGAUUCUAUUCUGAAGUUAGUUGCAAUUUGGAAAUUCAGUUAGAUGUUGGUUAGGGAUUUUGGUUGUCGGUUGGUUAAUUCUAUUUGCCAGUUAUGAUUAUGAGUCUUUGGGAUGCCAUGCCUUGUAUUGCUGAAAUGGAGGUGAUGUAUGGUUGUUGUUCAGCAUUGCUUUGCAGGUCCGCCACUAAUGGAUUAUUGUUUGAUUUAUGAACUAUUGUGCAGGUUGUGAACCAUUGGCCUUUGAAGGUCUUGUUAUGCUGAGUUUUCAAUGUCAAUUGGCGUUUUUGAAAGGUUGGUUAGUUGUUGUAUUGCCGUUAGUUGGUUAUGUGGAAUGUUAAACUUGCCAUUAUGUACUACUACUCAUUCUGAAGAGUCAAUGAAUUAUUGAUGGUUCGUUAUGGCUUGGACGGCAGCUUGGCGAUUUUUCCUGCUAUGUACUCUGAGUUUUUGCUUCUUACUUCAUUGCACGUGCUUUCCUGCGUUUUGGCCACUUUAUAAUGUUGCAGCUUUAGCUCUUCUCCACUGAUUUCUUCUUUUUUUUCCAUUUUGUCUUACUUGGGUAUAUGGAUGGACUUUGGGAUUAUAGUGGAUAAUGGUUUGGAGUGUGUAUUGGUAUCUACUGGUGGAUGUAAAUGGAUAUGAAAUUUGGAUAAUUGGUUUAUAUAUUGUAGAUGUAUUUUGGUUUGUGUUGGA
Molecule: long non-coding RNA, 1785 nt
Organism: Lathyrus oleraceus (garden pea)
Lineage: Eukaryota; Viridiplantae; Streptophyta; Magnoliopsida; Fabales; Fabaceae
Exons: 2
Source: RefSeq, a predicted model, not a curated record